GACGAACGCUGGCGGCGUGCCUAAUACAUGCAAGUUGAGCGAUGAAGCUUGGUGCUUGCACCAAUUUGAAGAGCAGCGAACGGGUGAGUAACGCGUGGGGAAUCUGCCUUUGAGCGGGGGACAACAUUUGGAAACGAAUGCUAAUACCGCAUAACAACUUUAAACAUAAGUUUUAAGUUUGAAAGAUGCAAUUGCAUCACUCAAAGAUGAUCCCGCGUUGUAUUAGCUAGUUGGUGAGGUAAAGGCUCACCAAGGCGAUGAUACAUAGCCGACCUGAGAGGGUGGUCGGCCACAAUGGGAAUGAGAAACGGGCCAAACCCCUAAGGGAGGCAGCAGGAGGGAAUCUUCGGCAAUGGACGAAAGGCUGAACGAGCAACGCCGGGUGAGGGAAGGAGGGUUUCGGAUCGUAAAACUCUGUUGGUAGGGAAGAACGUGGAUGAGAGUGGAAAGCUCAUCAAGUGACGGUAACUACCGAGAAAGGGACGGCUAACUACGUG
This 497-nucleotide ribosomal RNA is filed under the name uncultured bacterium. RNAcentral describes it as "partial 16S ribosomal RNA". It matches the Rfam family "Bacterial small subunit ribosomal RNA", at positions 28 to 507 of the family's 1533-position model. The record is from RNAcentral.